Long non-coding RNA from Amphimedon queenslandica, 1516 nucleotides. RefSeq lists it as uncharacterized. The record is from RefSeq and is a predicted model, not a curated record. Lineage: Eukaryota; Metazoa; Porifera; Demospongiae; Haplosclerida; Niphatidae. The transcript is spliced from 10 exons.
AUUGAGGCAGCAUAAUUUUUGCUAGUUUUUUAUACUCUUCAAUCAGUUAUUGAUCUUUUAGGUACUUAUCAGUACCUUAUAUACUCGUAUUGAAUCAAUUGGCAAUGUGGCAUGUCUCAUUCUAUAGGUAUUGGAUCAUGUCAGUACAGGGAGGAUCACGUGAUAGGUCACAUGACUUGAUAUCAACUGCCACUCCUUGUGUGAACGGGUGGGAGUGUUCCUGGCACCCACUUCAAAGUCCCGUAAGGCACUGUUUGCUGAUGGUAUUGGAGAGAAAUCAAAGAGUAAUUAUUUACUGACAAUGCUGAAGGAUAUUACAUAUUUUUGUCUUCCUCUCCACUAGUAGUGUGUAUUGGUGAACAGUUGGACAGAUGGCACAUGGUGUAUUGUACACUGGUGAGGGAGUGUUCAGUAAUGUAGUAAAAUUGAGAUACAUCAAGAUCAAGUCAAGAAGAGUGUGUACUCUUGCUGUAAUCAACAGGAUAAUUAUACUCAACUUUGAAGAGGACAAAGAGAAGAAUAAUGGACUAUCAAAUGAUAUAGAGAAUGAGACAAAUAUUUCUUUAGACGUUAUUGAUUCCAAAAAAGAAGCACAAACACAAAAAACUUAAAAACACAAACACAAGAAUCAUCACAGAAGAUCCAUUGAGGAAGAUACUGACUGUCAUAAGACUCACUCAACUAAAAGAGAUAAGAACGAGUCCUCUCAGAAUGGCCACUCCUCACUGCUAAAUGACUCCACCGAUUUCUCAUCAUUCCUUGGAGAUUAUGGCUAGACCAGUCAGAACUAUUACAAGUAAUGCUACAUUUCGAAGUGUGGCAGAGGAAGGGUUGAAAGAGAGUGCAGAACCGCUGGAUUUUGUAUCUGUGGAAAAUAUAUAUCUGGCACAGAAUUAGGUGUCCCAAGAGAAAAGUCUUGUCUUUGUCAAACAAGCGGUCAUCAUAGAGAUGGUCACCAUAGCAGCCAUCAUGCUCGCCUGAGAGGAGAAGGCGUUUUUGUUUCCUGUGACAAAUAUCUCACUUUCCAUGAUUGAAGCCACCAAGGAGAUUGAAAGAGGUGAUAGUGACCACAGGAACGUUCCCCAUUCCCCAAUCAAGAUGAUCUCAUUCUACUUGAAGGAGAGAGAGGAGGAGGGAGGAGAGAUUAUGAUAGGACCUCCCCUGGUAGGAGGAGGAGGAGUAGAUCAAUGGAGAAUAAGAGAUCAAACUCAACUAAGAAGAAUCUGGACUGGGCCAGACUAAAUGUACUUGUAGGAGGAGCAGAUCAGUUUCAAGAAGGAGAAGGGAUGAUCCCCUCUCUCUACUAGGAGACCAACCAGUCCUACCAGGAGAAGGUCUCGUUCCCCUAUAGACACAGUCCUUGCUCACGGUCACCAUGAUGAUAACCUCGUCAUUGUAGGAGGACUCUCCCAUGUAGGAGAUCUCGUUCUUCUCUGGGGCAGUCAUCAAGGAGACAGGAUAGAUGAGGGACCUCACGUGAGGGGAAGAGAGAGGAGAAGGAGAGAGACUUUGAAGA